AAGAGCCCCUGCAUAUCCCAAUCCAACCAGCCAUCACUAACACUCUUGCCAGGCUGACAAGGCAGCCUUUUUCCCCCUGAGCACAACUCUAAUUAACAGCGGUGGAUGUAGAGAGGCCAGGCAAUGUGGAGCUACUAAGAGGGCCUGGGGCACUGGGCAGACUCACUGUCACCUCGGCUUAAGUGCUGGGUCUUGGGCAGCCAUCUCCUCUCAUCAGAUGCUUUCAGGAAAUGGGUUUGUGGUCAGCAAAAAUAAGCAAGAGCACAAAAGAAACCACCGCCAGUCCUCAGGCGCUGACUGCGAGGUAGAGCGUCAGAGAGGGAGAGACUGAAAGAGAAAGAAAGACUUGGAGCCAAGUAUGAGCAGUAUCCACUGACCUGACAGUGGUAUGAGCUGUAUUCUGCAUUGCCUGAUGUGUUUAUUAAGGGGGGAAUCAUGUCAUAUUUCAAAGUCAAACACACUGAAAAAAUUGGUGUAAAAAGUUUCACUUAGAAAUU
Long non-coding RNA from Cyprinus carpio (common carp), 497 nucleotides. The record is from Ensembl. NCBI's taxonomy places the organism in Eukaryota, Metazoa, Chordata, Actinopteri, Cypriniformes, Cyprinidae.